Molecule: ribosomal RNA, 264 nt
Filed under: uncultured archaeon
Lineage: Archaea
Description: partial 16S ribosomal RNA
Rfam family: Archaeal small subunit ribosomal RNA
Source: RNAcentral
ACACGACUACAUUAGAUACCCCUGUAGUCCUAGCCGUAAACGAUACUCGCUAGGUGUCGGCCACGGUGCGACCGUUGUCGGUGCCGUAGGGAAGCCGUGAAGCGAGCCACCUGGGAAGUACGGCCGCAAGGCUGAAACUUAAGGAAUUGGCGGGGGAGCACAACAACGGGUGGAGCUUGCGGUUUAAUUGGAUUCAACGCCGGAAAUCUUACCGGGACCGACAGCAACAUGAAGGCCAAGCUGAAGACUUUGCCGGAUUAGCUG